AUUGAACGCUGGCGGCAUGCCUUACACAUGCAAGUCGAACGGCAGCACGGGAGCAAUCCUGGUGGCGAGUGGCGAACGGGUGAGUAAUAUAUCGGAACGUGCCCAAUCGUGGGGGAUAACGUAGCGAAAGCUACGCUAAUACCGCAUACGAUCUAUGGAUGAAAGCGGGGGAUCGCAAGACCUCGCGCGAUUGGAGCGGCCGAUAUCAGAUUAGGUAGUUGGUGGGGUAAAAGCCUACCAAGCCUUCGAUCUGUAGCUGGUCUGAGAGGACGACCAGCCACACUGGAACUGAGACACGGUCCAGACUCCUACGGGAGGCAGCAGUGGGGAAUUUUGGACAAUGGGCGCAAGCCUGAUCCAGCAAUGCCCGCGUGCAGGGAUGAAGGCCUUCGGGUUGUAAACUGCUUUUGUACGGAACGAAACGGUUCUUUCUAAUAAAGAGGGCUAAAUGACGGUACCGUAAGAAUAAGCACCGGCUAACUACGUGCCAGCAGCCC
RNAcentral lists this ribosomal RNA (497 nucleotides) under uncultured bacterium. Its description in RNAcentral is "bacterial SSU rRNA". It matches the Rfam family "Bacterial small subunit ribosomal RNA", at positions 30 to 517 of the family's 1533-position model. The record is from RNAcentral.